AUUGUAGAGGCAUACACAGAACAAACAGGGCAGAGAGGUGGAGUGCAGCCCCUUCCCUUGGGGUCUCAGAGAGUGCAUCUGUUGGUCACAGGUGAAAUGGUGUCUGACCACUGGCUCCCGGAAAGGGAAUAUUUAUUGGAAGUUUGUUCUCUUUCCACUUGGCUGGCUGCUUUAAGAUACAAGUUGAGUAAAACCAGUGCUACUCCUGGUCUGCUGGGAAUUUCAGGCUAGUAAGGUUGUUAUGAAGAUUAAAUAAGAUAACAUAAAUGUACUCCGCAGAUGUGAUUAAAUUCAGGAGCUCGACAUGAAGGGAUUAACCUGUCUUAUCUGGGUG
RNAcentral lists this long non-coding RNA (334 nucleotides) under Homo sapiens (human). RNAcentral's name for it is "novel transcript". Lineage: Eukaryota; Metazoa; Chordata; Mammalia; Primates; Hominidae. The record is from RNAcentral.